RNAcentral lists this ribosomal RNA (194 nucleotides) under uncultured Bacillus sp. RNAcentral describes it as "partial 16S ribosomal RNA". It matches the Rfam family "Bacterial small subunit ribosomal RNA", at positions 338 to 524 of the family's 1533-position model. The record is from RNAcentral. Lineage: Bacteria; Bacillati; Bacillota; Bacilli; Caryophanales; Bacillaceae.
CCUACGGGAGGCAGCAGUAGGGAAUCUUCCGCAAUGGACGAAAGUCUGACGGAGCAACGCCGCGUGAGUGAUGAAGGCUUUCGGGUCGUAAAACUCUGUUGUAAGGGAAGAACAAGUACAGUAGUAACUGGCUGUACCUUGACGGUACCUUAUUAGAAAGCCACGGCUAACUACGUGCCAGCAGCCGCGGUAAU